Molecule: ribosomal RNA, 259 nt
Filed under: uncultured bacterium
Lineage: Bacteria
Description: partial 16S ribosomal RNA
Rfam family: Bacterial small subunit ribosomal RNA
Source: RNAcentral
UAUUCCUACGGGACGCAGCAGUAGGGAAUCUUCGGCAAUGGACGAAAGUCUGACCGAGCAACGCCGCGUGAGUGAAGAAGGUUUUCGGAUCGUAAAACUCUGUUGGUAGAGAAGAACGUUGGUGAGAGUGGAAAGCUCAUCAAGGGACGGUAACUACCCAGAAAGGGACGGCUAACUACGUGCCAGCAGCCGCGGUAAUACGUAGGUCCCGAGCGUUGUCCGGAUUUAUUGGGCGUAAAGCGAGCGCAGGGGGUUUAUU